UUUGAUUAUUAAAUCUUCAAUUGCAGCUAACCAUAUCUUGUCCUUACUAGCUGACCAGUUAAGUAUGCGAGGGAAUGAAUUAGCAACUCUUAUAGCCAUAUCAGUUUUGAUAGUAGAGCAACACUCAUACAACCAUAUUUUCAUAGCUAGUGCGAAUCCUCGAAUGAGAUAAGAAUGAACAAAAGGAUUGAACCUGUGCCUAGCUGAUUCAAUCAACUGUUUGUAAGACUCAAUACCCCAUGCAUAUGUUGCAUGCUAUCCAGAGUCCACCAAAUAAAAACUCAAAUAAUCUACCAAUCCAACAUUGUCUUUAUCUGAAGGAUAGAUAAAGAACUCUAUGAGAUACAGAAUACAUAACUUGACUGCGUCCUCAUCAUUUACCCAACUUUUAUUGGUUACAAUCUAUUUUAGGUAUGACUUCUUCACUUUUUCCUUGUUUGGAAAAUAACUCCUCAUUAUCUUACUGUCAUAAUCCGGAGUGUAACCAAAG
Molecule: long non-coding RNA, 490 nt
Filed under: Nicotiana benthamiana
Lineage: Eukaryota; Viridiplantae; Streptophyta; Magnoliopsida; Solanales; Solanaceae
Description: long non-coding RNA (NBEN_LNC038442)
Source: RNAcentral